GAAAUGCGAUAAGUAAUGUGAAUUGCAGAAUUUAGUGAAUCAUCGAAUCUUUGAACGCACCUUGCGCUCCUUGGUAUUCCUUGGAGCAUGCCUGUUUGAGUAUCAUGAAAUCUUCAAAGUAAAUCUUUUGUUAACUCAAUUGGUUUCUACUUUGGUAUUGGAGGUCUUUGCAGCUUCACACCUGCUCCUCUUUGUUCAUUAGCUGGAUCUCAGUGUUAUGCUUGGUUCCACUCGGCGUGAUAAGUUAUCUAUCGCUGAGGACACUGUAAAAGGUGGCCAAGGUAAAUGCAGAUGAACCGCUUCUAAUAGUCCAUUGACUUGGACAAUACUUUUAUGAUCUGAUCUCAAAUCAGGUAGGACUACCCGCUGAACUUAAGC
This 378-nucleotide unclassified non-coding RNA is filed under the name plant metagenome. Its description in RNAcentral is "partial contains 5.8S ribosomal RNA, internal transcribed spacer 2, and large subunit ribosomal RNA". The stretch from base 1 to 105 matches the Rfam family "5.8S ribosomal RNA", at positions 50 to 154 of the family's 154-position model. The record is from RNAcentral.